Molecule: ribosomal RNA, 468 nt
Filed under: uncultured bacterium
Lineage: Bacteria
Description: partial 16S ribosomal RNA
Rfam family: Bacterial small subunit ribosomal RNA
Source: RNAcentral
GACGAACGCUGGCGGCGUGCUUAACACAUGCAAGUCGAACGGAAAGGCCCUGCUUUUGUGGGGUGCUCGAGUGGCGAACGGGUGAGUAACACGUGAGUAACCUGCCCUUGACUUUGGGAUAACUUCAGGAAACUGGGGUGAAUACCGGAUAUGAGCUCCUGCUGCAUGGUGGGGGUUGGAGAGUUUCGGCGGUUGGGGAUGGACUCGCGGCUUAUCAGCUUGUUGGUGGGGUAGUGGCUUACCAAGGCUUUGACGGGUAGCCGGCCUGAGAGGGUGACCGGCCACAUUGGGACUGAGAUACGGCCCAGACUCCUACGGGAGGCAGCAGUGGGGAAUAUUGCACAAUGGGCGGAAGCCUGAUGCAGCAACGCCGCGUGCGGGAUGACGGCCUUCGGGUUGUAACCCGCGUUCGCCUGUGACGAAGCGUGAGUGACGGUAAUGGGUAAAGAAGCACCGGCUAACUACGUG